RNAcentral lists this ribosomal RNA (467 nucleotides) under uncultured bacterium. RNAcentral describes it as "partial 16S ribosomal RNA". It matches the Rfam family "Bacterial small subunit ribosomal RNA", at positions 28 to 507 of the family's 1533-position model. The record is from RNAcentral.
GAUGAACGCUGGCGGCGUGCUUAACACAUGCAAGUCGAACGGAAAGGCCCAAGCUUGCUUGGGUACUCGAGUGGCGAACGGGUGAGUAACACGUGGGUGAUCUGCCCUGCACUUCGGGAUAAGCCUGGGAAACUGGGUCUAAUACCGGAUAGGACCACUUCUUGGAUGUUGUGGUGGAAAGUUUUUUCGGUGUGGGAUGAGCUCGCGGCCUAUCAGCUUGUUGGUGGGGUAAUGGCCUACCAAGGCGUCGACGGGUAGCCGGCCUGAGAGGGUGUACGGCCACAUUGGGACUGAGAUACGGCCCAGACGCCUACGGGAGGCAGCAGGGGGGAAGAGUGAACAAUGGGCGCAAGCCUGAUGCAGCGACGCCGCGUGGGGGAUGACGGCCUUCGGGUUGUAAACGCCUUUCGCUAGGGACGAAGCGUUUUGUGACGGUACCUGGAGAAGAAGCACCGGCUAACUACGUG